RNAcentral lists this ribosomal RNA (811 nucleotides) under uncultured bacterium. RNAcentral's name for it is "bacterial SSU rRNA". It matches the Rfam family "Bacterial small subunit ribosomal RNA", at positions 8 to 796 of the family's 1533-position model. The record is from RNAcentral.
AGAGUUUGAUCCUGGCUCAGCACGAACGCUGGCGGCGUGCCUAACACAUGCAAGUCGAACGGAAUUAAGGGGCUUGCUCCUUAAUUUAGUGGCGCACGGGUGAGUAACGCGUGGAUAAUCUGCCUGACGAUCUGGGAUAACAUCUCGAAAGGGGUGCUAAUACCGGAUAAGCCCACGGGGACUUCGGUUCUUGCGGGAAAAGGGGGGGACCUUCGGGCCUUCUGUCGUCAGAUGAGUCCGCGUACCAUUAGCUAGUUGGUAGGGUAAAGGCCUACCAAGGCUACGAUGGUUAGCUGGUUUGAGAGAAUGAUCAGCCACACUGGAACUGAGACACGGUCCAGACUCCUACGGGAGGCAGCAGUGGGGAAUUUUGCGCAAUGGGCGAAAGCCUGACGCAGCAACGCCGCGUGAGUGAUGAAGGCUUUCGGGUCGUAAAGCUCUGUCGAGGGGAAAGAAGUGUAUUGUGGCUAAUAUCCACGAUACUUGACGGUACCCCUAAAGGAAGCACCGGCUAACUCCGUGCCAGCAGCCGCGGUAAUACGGGGGGUGCAAGCGUUGUUCGGAAUUAUUGGGCGUAAAGCGCGUGUAGGCGGUUUGAUAAGUCAGAUGUGAAAGCCCACGGCUUAACCGUGGAAGUGCAUUUGGUACUGUCAGACUUGAGUACCAGAGGGGAAAGUGGAAUUCCCGGUGUAGAGGUGAAAUUCGUAGAUAUCGGGAGGAAUACCGGUGGCGAAGGCGACUUUCUGGCUGGAUACUGACGCUGAGGCGCGAAAGCGUGGGGAGCAAACAGGAUUAGAUCCCCUGGUAGUCC